GGGCCCGUAGCUCAGCGGUUUAGAGCGCUCGCCUCACACGCGAGAGGUCACAGGUUCGAAUCCCGUCGGGCCCA
Molecule: transfer RNA, 74 nt
Filed under: bacterium
Lineage: Bacteria
Also listed under: 2 other names
Description: tRNA-Val
Rfam family: tRNA
About the family: Transfer RNA (tRNA) molecules are approximately 80 nucleotides in length. Their secondary structure includes four short double-helical elements and three loops (D, anti-codon, and T loops).
Source: RNAcentral